UGGGGAAUAUUGCACAAUGGGGGAAACCCUGAUGCAGCGACGCCGCGUGAACGAAGAAGGUAUUCGUAUCGUAAAGUUCUGUCCUAUGGGAAGAUAAUGACAGUACCAUAGAAGAAAGCUCCGGCUAAAUACGUGCCAGCAGCCGCGGUAAUACGUAUGGAGCGAGCGUUGUCCGGAAUUAUUGGGCGUAAAGGGUACGCAGGCGGUUUAAUAAGUCGAAUGUUAAAGAUCGGGGCUCAACCCCACAAAGCAUUGGAAACUGAUAAACUUGAGUAGUGGAGAGGAAAGUGGAAUUCCUAGUGUAGUGGUGAAAUACGUAGAUAUUAGGAGGAAUACCAGUAGCGAAGGCGACUUUCUGGACACAAACUGACGCUGAGGUACGAAAGCGUGGGGAGCAAACAGG
RNAcentral lists this ribosomal RNA (403 nucleotides) under bacterium. RNAcentral describes it as "partial 16S ribosomal RNA". It matches the Rfam family "Bacterial small subunit ribosomal RNA", at positions 355 to 776 of the family's 1533-position model. The record is from RNAcentral.